GUUUUGAUAGCUUAAAUUAAAGCAUAACAUUGAAGCUGUUAAUAUGAGUUCAUCCUCUCGAAACA
This 65-nucleotide transfer RNA is filed under the name Glycera americana (American bloodworm). RNAcentral's name for it is "tRNA-Phe". It matches the Rfam family "tRNA". From Rfam's summary of the family: Transfer RNA (tRNA) molecules are approximately 80 nucleotides in length. Their secondary structure includes four short double-helical elements and three loops (D, anti-codon, and T loops). Lineage: Eukaryota; Metazoa; Annelida; Polychaeta; Phyllodocida; Glyceridae. The record is from RNAcentral.